GAUGAGCGCUGGCGGCGUGCCUAAUACAUGCAAGUCGAGCGAACAGAUGAGGAGCUUGCUCCUCUGACGUUAGCGGCGGACGGGUGAGUAACACGUGGAUAACCUACCUAUAAGACUGGGAUAACUUCGGGAAACCGGAGCUAAUACCGGAUAAUAUAUUGAACCGCAUGGUUCAAUAGUGAAAGACGGUUUUGCUGUCACUUAUAGAUGGAUCCGCGCCGCAUUAGCUAGUUGGUAAGGUAACGGCUUACCAAGGCAACGAUGCGUAGCCGACCUGAGAGGGUGAUCGGCCACACUGAACUGAGACACGGUCCAGACUCCUACGGGAGGCAGCAGUAGGGAAUCUUCCGCAGUGGGCGAAAGCCUGACGGAGCAACGCCGCGUGAGUGAUGAAGGUCUUCGGAUCGUAAAACUCUGUUAUUAGGGAAGAACAAAUGUGUAAGUAACUAUGCACGUCUUGACGGUACCUAAUCAGAAAGCCACGGCUAACUACGUG
RNAcentral lists this ribosomal RNA (496 nucleotides) under uncultured bacterium. Its description in RNAcentral is "partial 16S ribosomal RNA". It matches the Rfam family "Bacterial small subunit ribosomal RNA", at positions 28 to 507 of the family's 1533-position model. The record is from RNAcentral.